This 902-nucleotide ribosomal RNA is filed under the name uncultured Acidobacteriota bacterium. RNAcentral's name for it is "bacterial SSU rRNA". It matches the Rfam family "Bacterial small subunit ribosomal RNA", at positions 8 to 888 of the family's 1533-position model. The record is from RNAcentral. Lineage: Bacteria; Pseudomonadati; Acidobacteriota.
AGGGUUUGAUCAUGGCUCAGAAUCAACGCUGGCGGCGUGCCUAACACAUGCAAGUCGAACGCGAAAGCCCCGCAAGGGGCAAGUAGAGUGGCAAACGGGUGAGUAACACGUGGGUGACCUGCCUUCGAGCGGGGGAUAACGUCCCGAAAGGGACGCUAAUACCGCAUAACAUCCUGCCUUUGAAGAGGUGGAGAUCAAAGCUGGGGAUCGCAAGACCCGGCACUUGAAGAGGGGCCCGCGCCUGAUUAGCUAGUUGGUGGGGUAAUGGCCUACCAAGGCAACGAUCAGUAUCCGGCCUGAGAGGGCGGACGGACACACUGGGACUGAGACACGGCCCAGACUCCUACGGGAGGCAGCAGUGGGGAAUUGUUCGCAAUGGGCGCAAGCCUGACGACGCAACGCCGCGUGGAGGAUGAAGAUUUUCGGAUCGUAAACUCCUGUCGAAUGGGACGAAUAGAUUGCGGGUUAACAGCCCGUAGUCCUGACGGUACCGUUAAAGGAAACCCCGGCUAACUCCGUGCCAGCAGCCGCGGUAAUACGGGGGGGGUAAGCGUUGUUCGGAAUUACUGGGCGUAAAGGGCUCGUAGGCGGCCAACUAAGUCAUACGUGAAAUCCCUCAGCUUAACUGGGGAACUGCGUGUGAUACUGGAUGGCUUGGAUGUGGGAGAGGGAUGCGGAAUUCCAGGUGUAGCGGUGAAAUGCGUAGAUAUCUGGAGGAACACCGGUGGCGAAGGCGGCAUCCUGUACCAUUAUUGACGCUGAGGAGCGAAAGCCAGGGGAGCAAACGGGAUUAGAUACCCCGGUAGUCCUGGCCCUAAACGAUGAAUGCUUGGUGUAGCGGGUAUCGAUCCCUGCUGUGCCGAAGCUAACGCAUUAAGCAUUCCGCCUGGGGAGUACGGUCG